RNAcentral lists this ribosomal RNA (253 nucleotides) under uncultured bacterium. Its description in RNAcentral is "partial 16S ribosomal RNA". It matches the Rfam family "Bacterial small subunit ribosomal RNA", at positions 524 to 776 of the family's 1533-position model. The record is from RNAcentral.
UACGGAGGGUGCGAGCGUUGUCCGGAAUCACUGGGCGUAAAGGGCGCGUAGGCGGCGCGAGCAGUCGGCGGUGAAAGCCCGGAGCUCAACUCCGGGUCGGCCGUCGAUACUCUCGUGCUUGAGCACUGUGGAGGCAGGUGGAAUUCCUGGUGUAGCGGUGAAAUGCGCAGAUAUCAGGAGGAACACCGGUGGCGAAGGCGGGUCUCUGGGCCGAUACUGACGCUGAGGAGCGAAAGCGUGGGGAGCGAACAGG